This 389-nucleotide unclassified non-coding RNA is filed under the name soil metagenome. Its description in RNAcentral is "partial contains 5.8S ribosomal RNA, internal transcribed spacer 2, and large subunit ribosomal RNA". The stretch from base 2 to 121 matches the Rfam family "5.8S ribosomal RNA", at positions 37 to 154 of the family's 154-position model. The record is from RNAcentral.
GUGAAGAACGCAGCGAAAUGCGAUACUUGGUGUGAAUUGCAGAAUCCCGCGAAUCAUCGAGUUUUUGAACGCAAGUUGCGCCCGAAGCCAUUCGGCCGAGGGCACGUCUGCCUGGGUGUCACGCAUCGUUGCCCCCCCAAACUCCGGUUCGGGCGGGGCGGAAGUUGGCCUCCCGUGCGUGCCUGCGCGCGCGGUUAGCCCAAAAGCGAGUCCUCGGCGAUGAGCGCCACGACAAUCGGUGGUUUUUUUACCCUCGUUCCUCGUCGUGCGUGCCCCGUCGCCCGAACGCGCUCUUGCAACCCUUACGCGUCGCCUCGGUGGCGCUCCCAACGCGACCCCAGGUCAGGCGGGACUACCCGCUGAGUUUAAGCAUAUCAAUAAGCGGAGGA